AGGCAGCAGUAGGGAAUCUUCCGCAAUGGACGAAAGUCUGACGGAGCAACGCCGCGUGAACGAUGAAGGCCUUCGGGUCGUAAAGUUCUGUUGUUAGGGAAGAACAAGUACCGGAGUAACUGCCGGUACCUUGACGGUACCUAACCAGAAAGCCACGGCUAACUACGUGCCAGCAGCCGCGGUAAUACGUAGGUGGCAAGCGUUGUCCGGAAUUAUUGGGCGUAAAGCGCGCGCAGGCGGUUCCUUAAGUCUGAUGUGAAAGCCCCCGGCUCAACCGGGGAGGGUCAUUGGAAACUGGGGAACUUGAGUACUGAAGAGGAAAGCGGAAUUCCACGUGUAGCGGUGAAAUGCGUAGAGAUGUGGAGGAACACCAGUGGCGAAGGCGGCUUUCUGGUCAGUAACUGACGCUGAGGCGCGAAAGCGUGGGGAGCAAACAGGAUUAGAUACCCUGGUAGUCCACGCCGUAAACGAUGAGUGCUAAGUGUUAGAGGGUUUCCGCCCUUUAGUGCUGCAGCAAACGCAUUAAGCACUCCGCCUGGGGAGUACGGUCGCAAGACUGAAACUCAAAUGAAUUGACGG
Molecule: ribosomal RNA, 579 nt
Filed under: uncultured Bacillota bacterium
Lineage: Bacteria; Bacillati; Bacillota
Description: bacterial SSU rRNA
Rfam family: Bacterial small subunit ribosomal RNA
Source: RNAcentral